GAAAGCGGAGAUGAAGGGGAGAGGAAGGUGACCGUUGUUCUAGACAUAAUUCUGCUGUGACUAAGAUGGCUCCUUAGGCAUCAUUCCAACCUUCGGAGAAUCAUCAUGUCUGUCUGGUUUAUGGUGGAUGACCAGACUCUUUAUCACAGGUUGACUGUUGACCUAAAUGUCAGGGUUAGAGAAGAAGAUGGAGACCACUCUCACGUCUUUGCGUUAAGGACAGAGCUAGAGCCAGGAAGCAUACUACUAACUUAGCAUAAAUACUGGGAAAGAGAAGUACUUGGCGGUUGGACAUACUCUUAUUCAUACAGAAACACCGCGUAACUCGCUAAAAUAUCUCAAGAACUAUCAGAUGGAUUGUCCUGAUAUUUGGAACAGAUAUCCAAGAUGUCCAGAAGAUCCUAAUAACUUUGAUGAUCCCUGAUUUUUCAUCUGGCGGCAUCAUCAGAUCAUAAGUUUGUCAGAUUAUUUGGUUUAUGACCAAAUAUCUGCUAUUGACAUCCCUAGUGCUAAUUAAUACAUGUUAGCAUGCUAAACUAAGAUGGUAAACAAACUAAACAUUACACUUGCUUAACAUCGGGAUGUUAGCAUUGUCAUUUUGAGCAUGUUAGCAUGUCGACUUUAGCAUUUAGCUCAAAGUGCUGCUGUGACUAAGUACAGCCUCACAGAGCCGGAACAGCUAGCAUGGCUGUAGACUCAGACUCUUGUUUCUUUACUGUUUGUGUAUAGUUUAAGGCAUCAGUCAUCCACCACAUUUUUCUGACGUUAACAAUUGACUUCUCCGAAACAGACAAUUCAACAAUCACUCUUACAUCAAACAGUGAUUAGCCAGGUGUGUGGGUGAGAAAGGAAGCAGGGUUUGAACUUUUGAACUCUCUUUAGCUCUCCAUAGUUGUGCUUGUAAAAUGAAGAGAAUAGAUCUAAAGUAAAAAAUAGGCUUCUGGUUGCGUUAACACAUUCAUAGCACGAGUGAAACGCAAACCUAUAUGCUUAUUUCAGGCACAUCAGUUCUUUCAGACACCUGAAACAAAUGACUGAAUAGCGCAAUUGAAACGCCUCCUGUGUAGAAACACCGUUAGAAGAGGGAUUGUCUGAAAAUGUUACUCCUAUUUUUGAACAAUUAUCACGUCUCUCCCCACUCAGUGAAGGCAGGUUUUUCACCUUGCCUUAGAGUGUAGUCGUUUAGAACUGCUUUUUCCUUCAGAUGUGGUCAGACGACAUGUAGUACAAACAUGCCAUCAUGAAAUGAAAAAAGUUCAUUUCGAGCACACCCUGACCUUUAGAAAAAACAGGAUAUAACCAGUUAAUUAGUGAUCUUUAGAAGUGCUGGGAGAUGCAUUUUUUUUUUUUUUUACUUUGGGGAGACCCAGGCUAGCUGUUUACCCCUGCUUUCAGGCUUAAUGCUAAAGUACGCUAAUCACCUACCCACUCCAUACCCUGUGACCACCCACACAGGUGACUUCACUUAUUUCAACUGAUUAGACCAUUUCUCAGGGCUGUGUGGGGACGUACACAGUAGGUUUAUGGUCAGUAGAUGUCGCCCAUGUUGUUGCUGUAUUUACCCACAUUUUAUUGUCAGGCAUUUAUUUGGAUGUUUUUUUUUAAAAUUCCAAUACCUGUAUCUGCACCUUAAUGGAUAUCUGCUAUGUUCUUCAGUGUCAGUUCGACGGUUUUCUUGGCAUCAUCAUGCAGGCUGUAUUUAUUGUUUUAAAACAUCUAUGCUCUCUAGAACAAGAAGUUUUAAUCGCAUUAACACAUUUCCCUAUGAAUAAAGGAAAACAAAGCAGAAGUACUUGCAGUCAACCCACAGGAAGUGACAAAUCAGAUUUCUGGUGGUUUUUUUGUUUGUUUGUUUGUUUAUUUGUUUUUUUUACCUGCAAAAGAGCAUUCCAUCCUGAUAAAGGCUGAAUAACAACUGA
Xiphias gladius (swordfish) is the source of this 1919-nucleotide long non-coding RNA. RefSeq lists it as uncharacterized. The transcript is spliced from 2 exons. Lineage: Eukaryota; Metazoa; Chordata; Actinopteri; Istiophoriformes; Xiphiidae. The record is from RefSeq and is a predicted model, not a curated record.